AUUAAAUACUGGCACAAAACAAUUAGCAAUGUAUACUAAGGUGUUUCUACUAGCUGUCCUUUUUUGCUUGGUGGGUGCUGUCCUUUCCCAAAUAAAACCUAAUGACCGUGAAAAAUGGUGCCGACUUAACUUAGGACCUGCUUAUGGCGGAAAAUGCUAAACAUUAAAAAGAGUGUAAAAUUCAGUUUAUACUUCUGCAAAAUAAAGAAGGAAACGUGGUUAUUGGAUGUUAAUUAAA
Molecule: long non-coding RNA, 238 nt
Organism: Drosophila ficusphila
Lineage: Eukaryota; Metazoa; Arthropoda; Insecta; Diptera; Drosophilidae
Exons: 2
Source: RefSeq, a predicted model, not a curated record